Oreochromis niloticus (Nile tilapia) is the source of this 4438-nucleotide long non-coding RNA. RefSeq lists it as uncharacterized. The transcript has 5 exons. The record is from RefSeq and is a predicted model, not a curated record. NCBI's taxonomy places the organism in Eukaryota, Metazoa, Chordata, Actinopteri, Cichliformes, Cichlidae.
AAUCAACAGCAAAAGAAGAUGUUAAAAAUAAAGUUCAUGGUUGUGAAUAAAAUUGAUUUCAAUAAUCUUUUUUAAUUAUUAUUUUAAAACAACUUUAUGUUGUUGUGUUUCACGCCAUAUUAUCAGACCACCUUAAGUGGGUCCGCCUUAAAUUUUGAGUUUGUGUGAUCGCUGUUGAUUGGUAGCUAAACUGCUGGUAAACUGUGUACAGACAUUUUACGUUCGAAUUGCAGAGAAAAAAAAAUUCUGGUAGCAACAUUGUGCAGUAUGAGCGAACCAUUUCACCAAAAAAAGGGGAAGCAAGGCAAGACGUGGCUGCAGCGGUCUGCAGACGUGACUUCUGAUCAAAUUCGAACCUAAAGAAACAAAGAGCGACAUUACAUUGCGGGAUGACGUCACCUGAAAAUGACCAAUAGCGCGGCGCGCUGCUGAGCUGUGUGCCAACCGCUCUUUUUUUCAUGCAGGAGACUCAAGUUGGCUUCGCUAACGGACACAGUUUUGAACUUGUAUAUUAGCGCCAUUUAUUGCUGCUUGGACCACAGCAUCUUCGGAAUUUGUAGACAUCCUGGCAGCUUACAAUUAGUUCGAGGUGAGGUGAGUACAUGCAACUUCAAGUUAUUUCUGUUAUCAAAAUCCAGCCCAGCGUUUAUAGAUAAUUUUAGCAGUUCGUUUUUUAUUAGUGAGGUUGUGAAUUUAGUUAGCAUUUGUGAGUUGACUUAGCAUUACUGUUGCAAGGGAAGCAUUGCUCUGGAUUAGUUUCUGUGUUUGGCGUGCUUAAUUUGCUAGGGAGGAAUUACCAAAGUACAUGGAGUUAUGUUAACCUGUAAUUUCUGUGGUAAGGUAGUUCAGUCAUCAAGGGGCUACGUGCUUCAUUGUAAACUGCAUCGGAAUGAGCCACGUUGUUUCUUUCGGUGUAUUGAAGCAGGCUGCAAGCAAACAUACACCAGGCACUGAAUUUGAGCAGAAACCAUAAGGAUACUCAAAGGACCUGUGACUCUCAGGAAAUGCAUCAAAUGAGAGGGACAGAUGAAACAGUUUCAAGACAAUGGCAGGAAAAACAUGCUGAAGAUUGAAACAAACCUUGGCUGGAAAUAUUUGAAGGUAUCUAGCCAGUCCACAAUGAAAGCUUCGUUGCACCCCAUGAGUCUUCUGGCAGAAAUGAUGGCGCCUGUAUUCUUUGGUUUCCCUAAACAUCACACCCUGCCUGUUUAUACGAGGCUCUUCAAUUAAGUCUGCACCCAAAGAUUCAAUAAGAGAGGGGAUCCUGCCAGUCCAAAGUGAACUCCUGAUGGACAUUGAAGUACUCCUGCAGAGCUUGUAUCUUCGACACCAUGCGCAUUAGAAACUCCACUGAGUCCUUUCCUUCACCAAGGCAGGACCCAGUGACUCAUUACUGUUGAUAGGUCAGGGGCAGGUAAUAUUUUGUUUCAUGUUUAUUCAUUCCUCCAUGGAUUACCAGCCAUAUAUAUGGACACAUGCUGUAUUCUCAAGAUCUAUGCUGUUUUGUAGGAAUAGAGAAAAUGAUAUGUUUAGUCUGUUUUCAAAUGGUAUGUCAAAUUUUCUCAUUGUUUAUCAGUAAUAUUCACUACCUUGGUUAUAUAUGAGCAUCUUUAGAUUUUUCUAUAUUUAGCGGUUGCAAAUGUAAAAUGUACGGUAAACCAUUUAUGUUCCUCAUAUUGUACUGUAUUUUAAGCGGUAAAAUACCGGCAGCUGUGGUUGCCAGGAAUUUACCGUAAAAUGUAUCUGGUCAAAAUAAAAUGCUGUAAUUUGUUAUACAAUUUCACUGUUUUUUACUGUCAAAGGUUUUAAUAAGGUUUAACAUAUUUCUGUUAUUUUUACAGUUAUUUACAAUAAUAGGGUCUAUCCUAUUACUGUUAAAUUAACAACAAAUUACUGUAAAUAUUAUUAUAUUAUAACUUUUUUUUUUUACUGCAAAUAUCCGUAAAAAGCUAUGGAAAGUUGCAUUUUUUACAUUAAAUUGCUGAAUAAUUGACAAAUAUAUUUGUUUUUUUUCUAUCAUGAUUUUGGUAAAAUAAUACGUUGUCUACCUUAAAAUUUAGGGUUACAAAACCAGUAUACCGUAUUGUCUUUUACAGAUUCCACAUUUUUUUCACGGUAUAUUCCUGGCAACCACAGCUGCCGGUAUUUUACCGUACAUUUGACAGUUUUUUUUUUACAGUGCAGGGUGAGGGGGGCAGUGACCCAGCCUACUCUUGCACCUUGUACCUACUCCUCAAGUGGGAGUGGCAACCGUCCGAUCCACCCCGGCACCCGUUUGUGUUCCCAGGGUGAGGCCAGCCGAGGCGCAGUAAACCUCUGAACCCUAACCAGUUUCUUGGGUGAGAGCAACUUAUGUUCGGCAGGUGCCUGGACCCAUUCCCAUCUUCACUGGGGGCUCAGGCAAGUCCAUCCAGCUACCUCUUUCGUCCAGUCACCUACAGCCUCUACGCCGCCACCUCCUUCUCCAGCUGGGGGCUCAGGCAAGUCUGUCCAGCCACUUGUGGCCUCCAUGCCACCACCUGCUUCACCAGCUGGGGGCUCAGGCUGCCCGAGGGCCUUCAUCUCCAUUGCCAGCUGCCUGCAAAGACACCUGAAGAGUUGUAUCGCCUCUGGUCCCUUGUAAGGUGUCACUGGCAAUGCAGUCAACCUCCAGGUGCAACACAUCACCACCGCCGGCCCCAUGGCUGGCCCCCUGAACUGUUUCACCUGUGCCAUCAACCUCUGGUUCGACCCCGCUCAACUGCUUCUUUCCUGCAGCCGGUCGCAAAAAUUGUUAUGUGUGGACUUUGUUUCUGUCAUGAUCCUGGGCCAUGUUGGCCCAGUAUUCUUAGUUUUCAUGUAUUUUUGUUCUGUAUUUACGCCAUGGUUCCUGGGUUGCACUGUUAAGUUGUUCCUUAUUUGAUUUCCCCUUGUGACUUUUACCCCCUGUGUGCUCCUCUGUGUAUCUGUGAGCUCUCGUUUCCCCUCCUUGUAUUUUAUUCCAUGUUUUCCCCAGCCCAUUAUGUCCGUGCUCUCCCGUGCUCUCUCUCCUCCUGUCUGAACCUCUGUGUACUUCCUGUUUUACUUUGACAGUCUCUCGUCAGUAUGCGUCAUGUUGUGUUCACUCCUGCCCUGUCUUGUUACGAUUAUCUGUGUCAGCUGUGUUCCCCAUGUGCUCCCACUUCCCUCGUUUACCCUCUGUGCAUUUAUGUCCACGUCUCCCUCAGUUCAGUGUCGCGUUCUCCCUCAUGACUGUGUGCCCCUCUGUGUGUUUCCUCGUGAGUCAGUUCCUUAGUACUUCCCAGUUUAGUUUCAUGUUAUUUUGUAUCGCCUUUAUCUUUUGUCAGCAAUAAAGCUGUAUUUUGAGUUCAGUCCUGUAUUCCCGUGAGUUUGCGUUUGGGUCCUCAUCCUGCCUGCACACAGCCUAAUCAUGACAGAAGAACACGACCUCGACAUGGACCCAGCAGCUCACAAUCCCUCCGCUGAGCUCCGGGCGGAUUUAAUUUACACGGUGGAAUACCAUUGCCAAGAGUGGGUAGCACUGCCAGUUCCUGAAUACCAGGAGUUGUUAGCCACUUGCUUACAGAGGAUGGUUUCCGGACUCCCCUGGCUAUUCGGCACGCUACACCCCCUCAUUCAGGACUUCCUCGUCUCCACCGUACAUAUCCGCCCGGAGCUGCCUCUCCAGUAUGAAGAGUCGGAGGACGUUCAGCCCGGUCCGCUGGAGGAUUUGCGGCCCGGCUUGUCUCCUCCCUCUUCUCGACGAAAACGGCGUUCACGCCACCGUCGCCCAAGUACAGCUGAGCUGGCUUCACCCGUGGAUGAGAGUGACUGUGCAUCACACACUCAGCCCAAGUUUUAUGAUCCCAGACUUCAUGACUUAUCCACCACUGUGAGUAACUCUGUUUUGCCCGCCAUUGUGUUGCCUGAAUUGGAUAACUCCGCCACUGUGUGUUUGGACUCUAAAGACGUUAUUCUGAGUGACACCUCGGUGCCAAGUUAUUCACCAGCUGUCCUAACUAGUGAUCUUUAUGUUCCUGAGCCAUCAGAUUCUUGUAAUGCUCGCAGUGUUUCCUCUGAGUUAGCCAGUAUGAAUGUUUCACCUGUAGAGUUAGCUGAACCAAAGACUGUUAUUCUACACCAGACUCACCUACAUACUGCUACCAGCAUUGUAGCCCCGCAGAACUGUUUUACUCAGCCUGUACAUUCUGAGGUUUCCCAGUCUGAGCUCAGCCACACACCACCACCAUCAUCAGCUCUAGAUGUAACAGUGCAUGCUGAGGAGCACAAACCAUCUGAGACUGAGUGUUCUGUAGCUGAGGCUCCUAGUGACUGUUUCAUGUUCCAAUCCGUUUUGUCUUUUGACGUGUCCAGUGUGGCCCAGUCAGCUCCACAACCAGUGAUUAAUCCAGGGGUGUCCAAACUUUUUUCACUGAGGGCCACAUACAUAAAAAUAUAG